GACGAACGCUGGCGGCGUGCUUAACACAUGCAAGUCGAACGGAAAGGCCCUGCUUUUGUGGGGUGCUCGAGUGGCGAACGGGUGAGUAACACGUUAGUAACCUGCCCUUGACUUUGGGAUAACUUCAUGAAACUUGGGCUAAUACCGGAUAGGAGCUCCUGCUGCAUGGUGGGGGUUGGAAAGUUUCGGCGGUUGGGGAUGUACGCGCGGCUUAUCAGCUUGUUGGUGGGGUAGUGGCUUACCAAGGCUUUGACGGGUAGCCGGCCUGAGAGGGUGACCGGCCACAUUGGGACUGAGAUACGGCCCAGACUCCUACGGGAAGCAGCAGAGGGGAAUAUUGCACAAUGGGCGGAAGCCUGAUGCAGCGACGCCGCGUGCGGGAUGACGGCCUUCGGGUUGUAAACCGCUUUCGCCUGUGACGAAGCGUGAGUGACGGUAAUGGGUAAAGAAGCACCGGCUAACUACGUG
RNAcentral lists this ribosomal RNA (468 nucleotides) under uncultured bacterium. RNAcentral's name for it is "partial 16S ribosomal RNA". It matches the Rfam family "Bacterial small subunit ribosomal RNA", at positions 28 to 507 of the family's 1533-position model. The record is from RNAcentral.